This 72-nucleotide transfer RNA is filed under the name Coccidioides posadasii C735 delta SOWgp. Its description in RNAcentral is "tRNA-Ala (TGC) (tRNA-Ala-TGC-1-1)". It matches the Rfam family "tRNA". Rfam says of the family: Transfer RNA (tRNA) molecules are approximately 80 nucleotides in length. Their secondary structure includes four short double-helical elements and three loops (D, anti-codon, and T loops). Further hydrogen bonds mediate the characteristic L-shaped molecular structure. tRNAs have two regions of fundamental functional importance: the anti-codon, which is responsible for specific mRNA codon recognition, and the 3' end, to which the tRNAs corresponding amino acid is attached (by aminoacyl-tRNA synthetases). tRNAs cope with the degeneracy of the genetic code in two manners: having more than one tRNA (with a specific anti-codon) for a particular amino acid; and 'wobble' base-pairing, i.e. permitting non-standard base-pairing at the 3rd anti-codon position. Lineage: Eukaryota; Fungi; Ascomycota; Eurotiomycetes; Onygenales; Onygenaceae. The record is from RNAcentral. RNAcentral also lists the same sequence under 13 other names.
GGGCGAUUGGUUUAGUGGUAUAACGUCUGUUUUGCAUACAGAAGGUCGGGAUUUCGAUUAUCCCAUCGUCCA